RNAcentral lists this ribosomal RNA (504 nucleotides) under uncultured bacterium. RNAcentral's name for it is "partial 16S ribosomal RNA". It matches the Rfam family "Bacterial small subunit ribosomal RNA", at positions 29 to 523 of the family's 1533-position model. The record is from RNAcentral.
AUUGAACGCUGGCGGCAGGCCUAACACAUGCAAGUCGAACGGUAGCACAGAGAGCUUGCUCUCGGGUGACGAGUGGCGGACGGGUGAGUAACGUCUGGGAAACUGCCCGAUGGAGGGGGAUAACUACUGGAAACGGUAGCUAAUACCGCAUAACGUCGCAAGACCAAAGUGGGGGACCUUCGGGCCUCACACCAUCGGAUGUGCCCAGAUGGGAUUAGCUAGUAGGUGGGGUAAUGGCUCACCUAGGCGACGAUCCCUAGCUGGCCUGAGAGGAUGACCAGGCACAGUAGAACUGAGACACGGUCCAGACUCCUACGGGAGGCAGCAGUGGGGAAUAUGGCACAAUGGGCGCAAGCCUGAUGCAGCCAUGCCGCGUGUAUGAAGAAGGCCUUCGGGUUGUAAAGUACUUUCAGCGGGGAGGAAGGCGGUGAAGUUAACAGCUUCACCGAUUGACGUUACCCGCAGAAGAAGCACCGGCUAACUCCGUGCCAGCAGCCGCCGUAA